RNAcentral lists this ribosomal RNA (524 nucleotides) under Gymnothorax meleagris (turkey moray). RNAcentral's name for it is "partial 16S rRNA". It matches the Rfam family "Bacterial large subunit ribosomal RNA", at positions 1921 to 2593 of the family's 2925-position model. The record is from RNAcentral. Lineage: Eukaryota; Metazoa; Chordata; Actinopteri; Anguilliformes; Muraenidae.
UGUUUAACGGCCGCGGUAUUUUAACCGCGCGAAGGUAGCGUAAUCACUUGUCUUUUAAAUGGAGACCUGUAUGAAUGGCAUAACGAGGGUCUGACUGUCUCCUACACCUAGUCAAUGAAAUUGAUCUGCCCGUGCAGAAGCGGGCAUACCUACAUAAGACGAGAAGACCCUAUGGAGCUUUAGGUAAAUGAUCAAGCGAAACAAGUCACGGCCAUAGUAAAGGCCUAGAAAAACAAGAACUAAUGAUCAAGAUGCCUUCGGUUGGGGCGACCAUGGAGGAAACAAAAGCCUCCAAGUGGAAAGGGAAAACCCUUGAACUAAGAGAGACACCUCGAAGUAACAGAAUUUGUGACCAAAUAUGACCCAGGAUUUUAACCUGAUCAACGAACCCAGUUACCCUAGGGAUAACAGCGCAAUCCUCUCCCAGAGUCCCUAUCGACGAGGGGGUUUACGACCUCGAUGUUGGAUCAGGGCAUCCUAAUGGUGCAGCCGCUAUUAAGGGUUCGUUUGUUCAACGAUUAACA